Molecule: long non-coding RNA, 302 nt
Filed under: Coturnix japonica (Japanese quail)
Lineage: Eukaryota; Metazoa; Chordata; Aves; Galliformes; Phasianidae
Description: lncRNA (ENSCJPG00005010377.1)
Source: RNAcentral
AUGAGGCAUUUGGUAUGCAGAGGAGAAGAUAAUGAUCCAGAUAAUCAUGGUCUCAUUGGCAAAUAUUUGUUGUUUGUCCAUUUGUUUUGUGAGAAGAUUUUUACCUAUUGGAUACUUGAGUUGAGGCACUUGGGUAGCAGGUUACUGUCAAAUAGCACAUGUUCCUUCAUGGGGUGGUUGUCAACUCAAGACUUCAAACUUGUUUGAAAAUUUUUAGCAUCGACAUUUCUGUGACAGACGUUUUUCAAAUUUGUUGAAAUAGGACAAUGCUGUAAAGGUGAUCUGCGCUGCCAAUGCUGGAC